UUAAGGUGGCGGGUUGUAGCCCUGUUGAUGCGGGUUUNAUUCCUGUUUCUAUCA
This 54-nucleotide transfer RNA is filed under the name Bavayia septuiclavis. RNAcentral's name for it is "partial tRNA-Tyr". The record is from RNAcentral. Lineage: Eukaryota; Metazoa; Chordata; Lepidosauria; Squamata; Diplodactylidae.